This 500-nucleotide ribosomal RNA is filed under the name uncultured bacterium. RNAcentral's name for it is "partial 16S ribosomal RNA". It matches the Rfam family "Bacterial small subunit ribosomal RNA", at positions 30 to 526 of the family's 1533-position model. The record is from RNAcentral.
AUUGAACGCUGGCGGCAUGCUUUACACAUGCAAGUCGAACGGCAGCGCGGGCUUCGGCCUGGCGGCGAGUGGCGAACGGGUGAGUAAUAUAUCGGAACGUACCCAGGAGUGGGGGAUAACGUAGCGAAAGUUACGCUAAUACCGCAUACGUCCUAAGGGAGAAAGUGGGGGAUCGCAAGACCUCAUGCUCAUGGAGCGGCCGAUAUCUGAUUAGCUAGUUGGUGGGGUAAAGGCUCACCAAGGCAACGAUCAGUAGCUGGUCUGAGAGGACGACCAGCCACACUGGAACUGAGACACGGUCCAGACUCCUACGGGAGGCAGCAGUGGGGAAUUUUGGACAAUGGGGGCAACCCUGAUCCAGCAAUGCCGCGUGAGUGAAGAAGGCCUUCGGGUUGUAAAGCUCUUUUGUCAGGGAAGAAGCGACUCCUUCUAAUACAGGGGGUUAAUGACGGUACCUGAAGAAUAAGCACCGGCUAACUACGUGCCAGCCGCCGUAACAC